RNAcentral lists this ribosomal RNA (476 nucleotides) under uncultured bacterium. RNAcentral's name for it is "SSU rRNA". It matches the Rfam family "Bacterial small subunit ribosomal RNA", at positions 26 to 521 of the family's 1533-position model. The record is from RNAcentral.
AGGAUGAACGCUGGCGGCGUGCCUAACACAUGCAAGUCGAACGUCCUGUCUCGCAAGAGGCAGGGAGUGGCGGACGGGUGAGUACCACGUGGGUUAUCUACCGUGAGGUGAGGAAUACCGGCGAGAAAUCGCCGACAAGACCGCAUAGGCUCGAUGCAAGUCGAGCAAAGCUCGCUCGCAAGAGGGAGCGCCACACGAGGAGCCUGCGCCCGAUUAGCUGGCUGGUGGAGUAAUGGUUCACCAGGGCGACGAUCGGUAGCUGGUCUGAGAGGACGAUCAGCCACACUGGGAUUGAGAACGGCCCAGACUCCUACGGGGGGCAGCAGUGAGGAAUUUUCGUCAAUGGGGCAACCCUGAACGAGCAACGCCGCGUGCAGGAAGAAGGUUUUCGGAUCGUAAACUGCUUUUCUCGGGGAAGAGAACGGACGGUACCCGAGGAAGAACGCCCCGGCUAACUACGCGCCAGCAGCCGCGGU